AUACGUAGGGGGCGAGCGUUGUCCGGAAUGAUUGGGCGUAAAGGGCGCGUAGGCGGCCUGGUAAGUCUGGAGUGAAAGCCCUGGGUUUAAGAUGGGAGUUGCAUUGGAUACUGUCGGGCUUGAGUGCAGGAGAGGGAAGUGGAAUUCCCAGUGUAGCGGUGAAAUGCGUAGAGAUUUGGAGGACUACCAGUGGCGAAGGCGACUUACUUGACUGUAACUGACGCUGAGGCGCGAAAGUGUGGGGAGCAAGCAGGAUGAGAUACCCUAGUAGUCCACACAGGCAAUGAUGGAUGCGAGGUGUAUGGGGUGGCGCCCCCUUCUGUGCCGCAGUCAACACAAUAAGCAUUCCGCCUGGGGAGUACGGCCGCAAGGUUGAAACUCAAAGGAAUUGACGGGG
Molecule: ribosomal RNA, 397 nt
Filed under: uncultured bacterium
Lineage: Bacteria
Description: partial 16S ribosomal RNA
Rfam family: Bacterial small subunit ribosomal RNA
Source: RNAcentral